Molecule: ribosomal RNA, 539 nt
Filed under: Audacallichirus mirim
Lineage: Eukaryota; Metazoa; Arthropoda; Malacostraca; Decapoda; Callichiridae
Description: partial large subunit ribosomal RNA
Rfam family: Bacterial large subunit ribosomal RNA
Source: RNAcentral
GUCUGCUCGUUAUAAAGAACAGUCUGGCCUGCCCACUGAUUUAAUUUUAAAGGCCGCGGUACUUUGACCGUGCGAAGGUAGCAUAAUAAUUAGUCUUUUAAUUGAAGACUGGAAUGAAAGGUCGGACAAAAAGUAAUCUGUCUCAAUUUCUCCCGUCGAAAUUAACUUUUAAGUGAAAAGGCUUAAAUAUUCUUAAAGGACGAUAAGACCCUAUAAAACUUUAUAUAUAAAAAGGUAUACCUCAAUAUGUCUGUGAAAAGUUGUCUAACUUGUUAUAUAUUACGUUGGGGCGACGAGAGUAUAAAUCUAACUGCUCUUUUUUUUAAACAAUUAUAUUUGUUUCUUUUUGACCCUUUUUUUAAGAUCUAAAGAAAAAGUUACUUUAGGGAUAACAGCGUUAUUUUUUUUAAGAGUUCUUAUCGACAAAAAAGUUUGCGACCUCGAUGUUGAAUUAAAAUUUCCUUAUAGUGCAGCAAUUAUAAAGGUAGGUCUGUUCGACCUUUAAAAUUUUACAUGAUUUGAGUUCAAACCGGCGCGAG